Long non-coding RNA from Dendronephthya gigantea, 1199 nucleotides. RefSeq lists it as uncharacterized. The record is from RefSeq and is a predicted model, not a curated record. Lineage: Eukaryota; Metazoa; Cnidaria; Anthozoa; Malacalcyonacea; Nephtheidae. The transcript is spliced from 9 exons.
UUCACAUGCCUUCUAAUCUCUUAAAAAUAAUUUAUCUUUCAGCGACAAAGCUGUCAAGUCCGAUAUAUUUUUCAAAGUGUUUAUUUCUGCUCACGCAUUCAAUUAUUGAAUGACAAAACUGUCAAGUCUUAUAUAUUUGUCAAAGUGUUUAUUUAUGAUCACUAUUCAAGUAUUCAAAUAAGCAUUCUUUACUGAAUUUCCAGUUUAAUAUUCAGGUAAUCAAAACCAGCCCGAUAUAGGACUCGAACCCAUGGCCCUCAGAUUAAAAGUCUGAUGCUCUACCAACUGAGCUAACCGGGCACCUAUGCAAGUGUUGUGAAAUUAACGAAUCAAUGUUUUUUAUCCUAUGAAUAAUUUUUGAUUCAACGACAAUGGAAGCAGGUCGAAAGUAACCUUCUCGUUAGGAGAUGGAUUAAAAAAUAUUUUUACGAACGUAUUUUUUUGAAAAUUUCACAUGCCUUCUAAUCUCUUAAAAAUAAUUUAUCUUUCAGCGACAAAGCUGUCAAAUCCGAUAUGUUUUUCAAAGUGUUUAUUUCUGCUCACGCAUUCAAUUAUUGAACGACAAAGCUGUCAAGUCCGAUAUGUUUUUCAAAGUGUUUAUUUCUGCUCACGCAUUCAAUUAUUGAACGACAAAGCUGUCAAGUCCGAUAUAUUUUUCAAAGUGUUUAUUUCUGCUCACGCAUUCAAUUAUUGAACGACAAAGCUGUCAAGUCCGAUAUAUUUUUCAAAGUGUUUAUUUCUGCUCACGCAUUCAAUUAUUGAACGACAAAGCUGUCAAGUCUUGUAUAUUUGUCAAGGUGUUUAUUUCUGCUCACCAUUCAAUUAUUCAACGAAAAAGCAGUCAAGUCCGAUAUAUUUGUCGAGGCGAUUAUUUCUCUUCAAUCAUUAAAUUGUUAAAACAAAUUAUCUUUACUGAAUUUUCCGUUUCAUUAAACAGCGACAAAGCUGUCAAAUCCGUUAUAUUUUUCAAGGUGUUUCUUUCUGCUCAACCAUUCAAUUAUUGAACGACAAAGCUGUCAAGUCCGAUAUAUUUUUCAAAGUGUUUAUUUCUGCUCACCCAUUCAAUUAUUGAAGUAAGUAUUCUUUACUAAAUUUCCCGUUUAAUCAAACAGGUAAUCAAAACAAGCCCGAUAUGGGACUCGAACCCAUGGCCCUCAGAUUAAAAGUCUGAUGCUCUACCAACUGAGCUAACCGGGCAG